GAUGAACGCUGGCGGCGUGCCUAAUACAUGCAAGUCGUGCGGCAGCGAGCCCUUCGGGGUGUCGGCGAGCGGCGGACGGCUGAGUAACACGUAGGAACAUACCCCAAAGUGAGGGAUAACUGCUCGAAAGAGUAGCUAAUACCGCAUGUGGUCUAAGGAUUAAAGCUUCGGCGCUUUGGGAAUGGCCCGCGUUCGAUUAGCUAGAUGGUGAGGUAAAGGCUCACCAUGGCGACGAUCGAUAGCUGGUCUGAGAGGAUGAUCAGCCAGACUGGGACUGAGACACGGCCCAGACUCCUACGGGAGGCAGCAGUAGGGAAUUCUCCACAAUGGGCGAAAGCCUGAUGGAGCAACGCCGCGUGCAGGAUGAAUGCCUUAGGGUUGUAAACUGCUUUUAUAUGUGACGAUUAUGACGGUAGCAUAUGAAUAAGGAUCGGCUAACUCCGUGCCAGCCGCCGCAGUAA
Molecule: ribosomal RNA, 461 nt
Filed under: uncultured bacterium
Lineage: Bacteria
Description: partial 16S ribosomal RNA
Rfam family: Bacterial small subunit ribosomal RNA
Source: RNAcentral